GACUAUCCAACGGUUCAAACCUAUCAAACCCGGAUAACGUACAACAGGCGAAAUUCGUUUGGGGUUCGAACGUCAACCAAAUUGGAAAUCUGAGCACACCUAUGCACUCGUGACAACAAGGGGAUCACAUCGGGACACAAUGCCCCAUUUCUACGGUGCCCACGCACCACCACACGCACCAGCAGCGUGUGGGUGUCCAAAGCGAUUACGCAUUGCUGGAAAAUCUCAAAACCACGGCUCAAGACUCCUACCCUAGGUAUAACACCCUAUUUGGAAU
Molecule: long non-coding RNA, 277 nt
Filed under: Prunus persica (peach)
Lineage: Eukaryota; Viridiplantae; Streptophyta; Magnoliopsida; Rosales; Rosaceae
Description: long non-coding RNA (PPER_LNC002368)
Source: RNAcentral